Molecule: long non-coding RNA, 642 nt
Filed under: Chinchilla lanigera (long-tailed chinchilla)
Lineage: Eukaryota; Metazoa; Chordata; Mammalia; Rodentia; Chinchillidae
Description: lncRNA (ENSCLAG00000024589.1)
Source: RNAcentral
AUGUGGUUUACAGAUGAGCAAGCUCCAAGCUUUCCUGAGCAGUCAUCCUGUUUCCGAAUAACCUUAAAAACGACUUGCUCCUUGGGAUGUGCUUUUCCGUUUCCUAGCAGCAUACAGAAGCAGCAGCCUGGAUUAAUUUGGAAGUCUCUGCCGUCAAGCUUCCGUUCUUGCCAUUCCAACAGCAUCACUUUCAAAUCGUCGGACAGAAAGGUGCUCGCCGUUACCCAUUUUAUUCAGAUCAAGCACCGAAGCUGACCUCCCGGAUUAAAGAAUCGCAAUCCCAGAUGUGAAGGUUGGACGGUGUGGACGGUGACUUGUGGCUCCUUGACUCCAAACACCAGGUGCAGCACUUCCUCACAGGAGGCACACGACUGUCAAAUAAGCGAUGGAAUGAACGAGCCUCUGCAGAAUUCGCCACGCACUUCCCACGGGUUCCAGGAACUGUGUUUGCCAUCUUAGUCUAUGACAAAGUGCGAGCCACCAUCACGUCUUCCCCCGCUGUACUCGGUCCCCUGACACCCAGUCUCGCCAAGGAACUUCCAAUGGACCUUUUCAAAAUUAAACUUUCCUUACUUGUAAGGGGGAGAAAUAAUGAUCCUACCUCUAAGGUUUGAUGCAAAUCAAACAUGACCCAGCGCAUCA